Long non-coding RNA from Hemicordylus capensis (graceful crag lizard), 1093 nucleotides. RefSeq lists it as uncharacterized. The transcript is spliced from 6 exons. The record is from RefSeq and is a predicted model, not a curated record. Lineage: Eukaryota; Metazoa; Chordata; Lepidosauria; Squamata; Cordylidae.
UCGGGCUCAAACUUCAUUCUGGAAAUCAACAGAACAAGUCUGUCUUCCUUCUCAUGUGCAUUCUUUCUUCUGUCUGUCAUGUAGAUAACACCAAGAAGGUGUAAGCUUGGAAUCCUGGCCUUCCUGGAAGUCUCAAAUGACACUACGUUAGAAUUAUUCUGGGCGGCCAAGAGGAGAUCCCAAAAGACGAGGAUGGAGGAAUUGUAAUUGUGGAAAUAGCUUCAUACAGUCACGGAGUUAUCACGUCUUCUGAAUGGAAAGCCCUCAGUGCUGCUCAAGUGAAUUUAACUGAACUUAAACCUUACAUAACUAAUGGAUGGUCAUGCAAAAACAAAGUACCUGAACACCUUCAACCAUACAUGCACGUAGCAAAUGAGCUGUCUCUUCUCAAUGAACUGGUGCUGAGGACUGAUUGUUUGGUGGUGCUAACCUCCUUAAAAGCAAAAGUGAUCAAAAUUGCCCAAGAUGGUCACAUGGGCAUGAGCUUGUGCAUUUUUAGGAGAGAAGGUGACUGACAAUGGGACACACAGCUUACCUCAUUUGAAAUGGAGCAAUAUUUGCAUAACCAUGAGAUGAAACACAAUACUAUUUCCUUGUACCAUCCUCAAGGGAAUGGCUUAGUGGAAAGAAUGAACAGAUUAGUGAAAUAAAGAUUACAAUUGGCUACUACGCAACAACAGCCCUGGAAAGAGUUUUAUACCCCAUCCUAUCCUGGAAUCCAGAGAUGAUUAACUGGCAGCUACAGGCCAAGUCUGCAUAUCCAUUGAUAUUUCACAGGUUUUGGUGCCUGUGUGUGCCUUUCCUCUGCCCCAAGCCUUCAUCUGCUACUUUCUAAUUGUUAGGCAAGGCAGACAAGGUGCCCCACAGGGAACAGAUGGCAUUCUGGAAUCUACCAGCAAGAGUCACUCCUGGAAGCGAUUUUCACCUUCAGGCUCCACAUUGAGUGGCUGGCACACCAAAGAGAUGGCCAUUGCUCACCAAUAGCUAGAUGGCACAGGAGCAGCCUUUUGCUUCCGGAGAUAGUUGCUGCUGCCCAGAAGAAGGUGCUAUCCCUUUGGGAUAAUUAGGUCCUGACCCAAUUGGCUCAGUUUGG